GGAUUUGUGGUGUGUCCAGUCGGCCUUUGCUCUUUGAGUGAUUGUGCUGUACUGGUCUGCCAUGUUUGGGUGGAAUCUGUGUGGCAUUAAGUUGUCGUGCAGGGGAUGCCCAUCGUUUACUGUGAAAAAAUUAGAGUGUUCAAAGCAGGCUUAUGCCGUUGAAUAUAUUAGCAUGGAAUAAUGAUAUAGGACCUUGGUACUAUUUUGUUGGUUUGCGCACUAAGGUAAUGAUUAAGAGGGACAGUUGGGGGUAUUUGUAUUCCAUUGUCGGAGGUGAAAUUCUUGGAUUUUUGGAAGACAAACUACUGCGAAAGCAUUUACCAAGGAUGUUU
RNAcentral lists this ribosomal RNA (332 nucleotides) under Pseudo-nitzschia sp. RCC5400. Its description in RNAcentral is "SSU rRNA". The stretch from base 109 to 332 matches the Rfam family "Eukaryotic small subunit ribosomal RNA", at positions 744 to 969 of the family's 1831-position model. Lineage: Eukaryota; Bacillariophyta; Bacillariophyceae; Bacillariales; Bacillariaceae. The record is from RNAcentral.